AUGCACGCUGGCGGCGUGCCUAAUACAUGCAAGUCGAGCGCACAGAUAAGGAGCUUGCUCCUUUGACGUUAGCGGCGGACGGGUGAGUAACACGUGGGUAACCUACCUAUAAGACUGGAAUAACUCCGGGAAACCGGGGCUAAUGCCGGAUAACAUUUAGAACCGCAUGGUUCUAAAGUGAAAGAUGGUUUUGCUAUCACUUAUAGAUGGACCCGCGCCGUAUUAGCUAGUUGGUAAGGUAACGGCUUACCAAGGCAACGAUACGUAGCCGACCUGAGAGGGUGAUCGGCCACACUGGAACUGAGACACGGUCCAGACUCCUACGGGAGGCAGCAGUAGGGAAUCUUCCGCAAUGGGCGAAAGCCUGACGGAGCAACGCCGCGUGAGUGAUGAAGGUCUUCGGAUCGUAAAACUCUGUUAUUAGGGAAGAACAAAUGUGUAAGUAACUGUGCACGUCUUGACGGUACCUAAUCAGAAAGCCACGGCUAACUACGUG
This 496-nucleotide ribosomal RNA is filed under the name uncultured bacterium. Its description in RNAcentral is "partial 16S ribosomal RNA". It matches the Rfam family "Bacterial small subunit ribosomal RNA", at positions 29 to 507 of the family's 1533-position model. The record is from RNAcentral.